This is a long non-coding RNA of Coregonus clupeaformis (lake whitefish), 123 nucleotides long. RefSeq lists it as uncharacterized. The record is from RefSeq and is a predicted model, not a curated record. NCBI's taxonomy places the organism in Eukaryota, Metazoa, Chordata, Actinopteri, Salmoniformes, Salmonidae. The transcript is spliced from 3 exons.
CCAUGUGCCACCUCAAGCCAGAGCGACAUUAGUCCAAGUGGCAGCCAGGAAGAAGCUGGCCAAGACAGAGCAUCAGAAUCAGACCAAGAGCUGCCAUCCCUGCUUGAUGAUCCUGUGGCUUCU